RNAcentral lists this long non-coding RNA (330 nucleotides) under Homo sapiens (human). RNAcentral's name for it is "HSALNT0370470". The record is from RNAcentral. Lineage: Eukaryota; Metazoa; Chordata; Mammalia; Primates; Hominidae.
AAGCCCAAAUGAGGAUGCAAACCCCAGCUGUGCCUCUUCCUUGGUGUGUGACCCUGGUUUCCUUGCUGGGCAACUGUGAAGGUCUGAAAUCAUCUAGUGAAUGGAUUUGGUGCAGAGUAAGUGCAUGACAGUUGUUGAAGAUGACUACUGAUCAUUUGGGAUCCUUCACAUCUCCUCCACCAGGAAAGAAAGCUGGACUGCGCAGGUCGGGAAGAUUCCGGGGAGAUGCACAGCCUUUGCGUUCUGGGCUCAUCUGGCCUUCAACGUGUGAUUUUGAGAGUUGGAAGCGAGAAGAUUAUAACUCAGAAUGGCACGCGGGUGUGAAGCCGG